AUUGAACGCUGGCGGCGUGCUUAACACAUGCAAGUCGUGCGGUAACAGGCGUAGCAAUACGUGCUGACGAGCGGCGAACGGGUGCGUAAUACAUGGGAAUCUGCCUUUUAGUGGGGAAUAACCCGGCGAAAGCCGGGCUAAUGCCGCAUAAGAUCUUCGGAUGAAAGCGGGGAGUCGUAAGACCUCGCGCUGAUAGAUGAGCCCACUGCCGGAUUAGCUAGUUGGNGAGGUAACGGCUCACCAAGGCGACGAUCCGUAGCUGGUCUGAGAGGACGGCCAGCCACACUGGGACUGAGACACGGCCCAGACUCCUACGGGAGGCAGCAGUGGGGAAUAUUGGACAAUGGGGAAACCCGUGAUCCAGCGACGCCGCGUGUGUGAAGAAGGCCUGCGGGUUGUAAAGCACUUUCGGUGGGAACGAAAU
RNAcentral lists this ribosomal RNA (424 nucleotides) under uncultured bacterium. Its description in RNAcentral is "bacterial SSU rRNA". It matches the Rfam family "Bacterial small subunit ribosomal RNA", at positions 30 to 451 of the family's 1533-position model. The record is from RNAcentral.